ACGCUGGCGGCAGGCCUAACACAUGCAAGUCGAGCGGUAGAGAGAAGCUUGCUUCUCUUGAGAGCGGCGGACGGGUGAGUAAUGCCUAGGAAUCUGCCUGGUAGUGGGGGAUAACGUUCGGAAACGGACGCUAAUACCGCAUACGUCCUACGGGAGAAAGCAGGGGACCUUCGGGCCUUGCGCUAUCAGAUGAGCCUAGGUCGGAUUAGCUAGUUGGUGGGGUAAUGGCUCACCAAGGCGACGAUCCGUAACUGGUCUGAGAGGAUGAUCAGUCACACUGGAACUGAGACACGGUCCAGACUCCUACGGGAGGCAGCAGUGGGGAAUAUUGGACAAUGGGCGAAAGCCUGAUCCAGCCAUGCCGCGUGUGUGAAGAAGGUCUUCGGAUUGUAAAGCACUUUAAGUUGGGAGGAAGGGCAUUAACCUAAUACGUUAGUGUUUUGACGUUACCGACAGAAUAAGCACCGGCUAACUCUGUGCCAGCAGCCGCGGUAAUACAGAGGGUGCAAGCGUUAAUCGGAAUUACUGGGCGUAAAGCGCGCGUAGGUGGUUUGUUAAGUUGGAUGUGAAAUCACCGGGCUCAACCAGGGAACUGCAUUCAAAACUGACUGACUAGAGUAUGGUAGAGGGUGGUGGAAUUUCCUGUGUAGCGGUGAAAUGCGUAGAUAUAGGAAGGAACACCAGUGGCGAAGGCGACCACCUGGACUAAUACUGUCACUGAGGUGCGAAAGCGUGGGGAGCAAAC
RNAcentral lists this ribosomal RNA (745 nucleotides) under uncultured bacterium. RNAcentral describes it as "bacterial SSU rRNA". It matches the Rfam family "Bacterial small subunit ribosomal RNA", at positions 33 to 773 of the family's 1533-position model. The record is from RNAcentral.